UAAGGAAUAUUGCUCAAUGGGAGAAAUCCUGAAGCAGCAACGCCGCGUGGAGGAUGAAGGGUCUAUGACUUGUAAACUCCUGUAAAGAAGGAAAAAAUUCCCAUUUGAUGGGAGAUGAUGGUACUUCUGGAGUAAGCCCCGGCUAACUACGUGCCAGCAGCCGCGGUAAUACGUAGGGGGCAAGCGUUGUCCGGAUUUACUGGGUGUAAAGGGUGCUCAGGCGGAUUUGUAAGUCAGAGGUGAAAUCUUACAGCUUAACUGUGAAACUGCCUUUGAUACUGCAAGCCUAGAGUAUGGAAGAGAGUGAUGGAAUAUCUGGUGUAGCAGUGAAAUGCGUGGAUAUCAGAUAGAACACCAAUGGCGAAGGCAGUCACUUGGUCCAUUACUGACGCUAAAGCACGAAAGCGUGGGUAGCAAACA
Molecule: ribosomal RNA, 420 nt
Filed under: uncultured bacterium
Lineage: Bacteria
Description: bacterial SSU rRNA
Rfam family: Bacterial small subunit ribosomal RNA
Source: RNAcentral